RNAcentral lists this ribosomal RNA (772 nucleotides) under uncultured Neocallimastigales. RNAcentral describes it as "partial large subunit ribosomal RNA". It matches the Rfam family "Eukaryotic large subunit ribosomal RNA", at positions 18 to 642 of the family's 3401-position model. Lineage: Eukaryota; Fungi; Neocallimastigomycota; Neocallimastigomycetes; Neocallimastigales. The record is from RNAcentral.
UCAGACGAUGCGUCAUGCAUAUCAAUAAGCGGAGGAAAAGAAACUAACAAGGAUUCCCUCAGUAACGGCGAGUGAAGCGGGAAGAGCUCAAAUUUGAAAUCUUGAAAGGUCACCUUUCACGAAUUGUAGUUUAAAGAAGUGUUUUCUGUUACGAUCGUAAUAUAAGUUCUUUGGAAUAGGACAUCACAGAGGGUGAGAAUCCCGUCUAUGAUUGCGAUUUGUAGCUUUGUGAUACACUUUCAAAGAGUCGGGUUGUUUGGGAAUGCAGCCCAAAACGGGAGGUAAAUUUCUUCUAAGGCUAAAUAUUGGCGAGAGACCGAUAGCGAACAAGUACCGUGAGGGAAAGAUGAAAAGAACUUUGAAAAGAGAGUUAAAUAGUACGUGAAAUUGUCAAAAGGGAAGCGUUUAACACCAGUGUUGUUUUCUGAAAAUCAACCUCUGUUAGCUUUAUGCAUGUUUGUUUAGACCUAAUCAGCUAUCUUGCAUGUUCUAUUGUUUGCAGUGGUGCACUUUUCAGUUUACAGGUCAACAUCAGUUUUUUUUACCGUAAAAAAGUUAAAGAAAGGUAGCUCAUGGCUCCGGUCGUGAGUGUUAUAGUCUUUUUCCUAUGCGGUAGGAGAGACUGAGGUCUGCAGUGUAGGCUAUUUGGCUAGAUACCUCAGGUGCUAUGUGAUACCAUUUCAUAAACAACUUGUUGAUUAUGUUUUGUCUAUUGCAUACUCGCUUGUACUAUCAUACCUACGCUUAGGAUGUUGACUGAUAUGUAGUAGUA